GAUAAACGCUGGCGGCGUGCAUGAGACAUGCAAGUCGAACGGACGAUCGAGGCUUGCUUCGAUCGUUAGUGGCGGACGGCUGAGUAACGCGUAGGUGACCUGCCCCGAAGUGGGGAAUAACUGCCCGAAAGGGUGGCUAAUACCGCAUGUGGUGGUGUGUUCAAUCACACCAGUAAAGCCGCAAGGCGCUUCGGGAGGGGCCUGCGUCCAAUUAGCUCGUUGGUGGGGUAACGGCUCACCAAGGCGACGAUCGGUAGGUGGUCUGAGAGGACGAUCACCCAGACUGGGACUGAGACACGGCCCAGACUCCUACGGGAGGCAGCAGUCGGGAAUUUUGCGCAAUGGACGAAAGUCUGACGCAGCAACGCCGCGUGAGGGAUGACGGCCUCGGUUGUAAC
Molecule: ribosomal RNA, 398 nt
Filed under: uncultured bacterium
Lineage: Bacteria
Description: bacterial SSU rRNA
Rfam family: Bacterial small subunit ribosomal RNA
Source: RNAcentral